This 433-nucleotide ribosomal RNA is filed under the name uncultured bacterium. RNAcentral describes it as "partial 16S ribosomal RNA". It matches the Rfam family "Bacterial small subunit ribosomal RNA", at positions 29 to 507 of the family's 1533-position model. The record is from RNAcentral.
AACGAACGCUGGCGGCAUGCCUAACACAUGCAAGUCGAACGAGACCUUCGGGUCUAGUGGCGCACGUGUGCGUAACGCGUGGGAAGCUGCCCUUAGGUUCCGAAUAACUCCCCGAAAGGGGUGCUAAUACCGGAUAAUGUCUUCGGACCAAAGAUUUAUCGCCUUUGGAUGGGCCCGCGUUGGAUUCGCUGGUUGGUAGGGUAAAAGCAUACCAAGGCGACGAUGCAUAGCUGGUCUGAGAGGAUGAUAAGCCACACUGGGGCUGAGACACGGCCCAGACUCCUACGGAAGGCAGGAGAGGGUAAUAUUGGACGAGGGAGGAAGGCCUGAAACAGCAAUGCCCCGUAAGAGAUGAAGGCCGUAGGGUAGUAAAGCUCUUUUACCCGGGAUGAUAAUGACAGUACCGGGAGAAUAAGCACCGGCUAACUACGUG